This 749-nucleotide ribosomal RNA is filed under the name uncultured bacterium. Its description in RNAcentral is "bacterial SSU rRNA". It matches the Rfam family "Bacterial small subunit ribosomal RNA", at positions 62 to 775 of the family's 1533-position model. The record is from RNAcentral.
UCGAACGAGUUCUCGUUGAUGAUCGGUGCUUGCACCGAGAUUCAACAUGGAACGAGUGGCGGACGGGUGAGUAACACGUGGGUAACCUGCCCUUAAGUGGGGGAUAACAUUUGGAAACAGAUGCUAAUACCGCAUAGAUCCAAGAACCGCAUGGUUCUUGGCUGAAAGAUGGCGUAAGCUAUCGCUUUUGGAUGGACCCGCGGCGUAUUAGCUAGUUGGUGAGGUGAUGGCUCACCAAGGCGAUGAUACGUAGCCGAACUGAGAGGUUGAUCGGCCACAUUGGGACUGAGACACGGCCCAAACUCCUACGGGAGGCAGCAGUAGGGAAUCUUCCACAAUGGACGCAAGUCUGAUGGAGCAACGCCGCGUGAGUGAAGAAGGCUUUCGGGUCGUAAAACUCUGUUGUUGGAGAAGAAUGGUCGGCAGAGUAACUGUUGUCGGCGUGACGGUAUCCAACCAGAAAGCCACGGCUAACUACGUGCCAGCAGCCGCGGUAAUACGUAGGUGGCAAGCGUUAUCCGGAUUUAUUGGGCGUAAAGCGAGCGCAGGCGGUUUUUUAAGUCUGAUGUGAAAGCCCUCGGCUUAACCGAGGAAGCGCAUCGGAAACUGGGAAACUUGAGUGCAGAAGAGGACAGUGGAACUCCAUGUGUAGCGGUGAAAUGCGUAGAUAUAUGGAAGAACACCAGUGGCGAAGGCGGCUGUCUGGUCUGUAACUGACGCUGAGGCUCGAAAGCAUGGGUAGCGAACAG